CGAUGGAUCAGUUCCGUAAUACACAACAAAAGCGUCUUUGAACGAAAAAAGAAUCCACUCAUUAACAUAACAAAGAUACAGACCCGGGACAACGGAUGUCUUGGCUCCCCAAACGAAGAAGAACGUGGCAUAAUGUGAUAAGUGACAGGAGUUGCAGACAUCGUGACUAGUUCAAUCUUUGAAUGCAAAUUGCGCCCGAAUCCUUCUGGAGCAGGGCAUAUUGCGUGCAGUGACCCAUUUUGUCGGAGGACGCUGUAAGCACAGCGAAACUACAAAAUAACACAUCGGGUCCCGCACGUAGUAGGAACACCCGCUGAACUGAAGCAUCUCAUUAAGCGGAGGAAAAGAAACUAACAAGGAUUCCUUCAGUAAAGGCGAUCGAAGAAGGAAGAGCUCGACCCCUAACCCGCUCGCGAGAGGGGGGAUGUGGGGACGCGAUCUUUGCGGCGGGGGAAAUUGUGCGUUGACGGCCAACGAAACAGAGUAAUAGUCUCGUUCCCCUUUGCAAGCACGGUUGCGGAAAUCGAGUCGGGUAGCUUGAGAUUGCUGCCUCAAGUCGGUGGUAUGACCCAUCGAAGGCUAAAUAGGUUGGGGAGACCGAUAGCGAACAAGUAGUGUGAACGAAAGAUGAAAAGUACUCCACGACGGAGCGUGAAAAAGCACCUGAACUUGUCCCGGGGAAGGCAAUUUAUUGCACCCGUCUUGAAACACGGAUUAGGGAGUUUAUCGGAGCUGCGAGUCUUCGCUUGUGAAAAAGCGGGGGCGGAAAGAAACUGACUGGUAUCGACAUGGCUGGGGAGCAGCCCCGCUAGAACCCGAAUGGUGGUGAACUAUGCCUGCACAGGGCGAAGUCAGGGGAAACUCUGAUGGAGGCCCGUCGCGUUAUUGAUGUGCAAAUCAUUCGUUAGAUGUAGGUAUAGGUGCGAAAGACUCAUCGAACCACCUAAUAGCUGGUUUCCCC
Molecule: unclassified non-coding RNA, 961 nt
Filed under: uncultured fungus
Lineage: Eukaryota; Fungi
Description: sequence contains 18S rRNA gene, ITS1, 5.8S rRNA gene, ITS2, 28S rRNA gene
Rfam family: Eukaryotic large subunit ribosomal RNA (bases 287-961)
Source: RNAcentral